ACCGAUAGUGAACCAGUACCGUGAGGGAAAGGUGAAAAGCACCCCGGAAGGGGAGUGAAAUAGAACCUGAAACCGUGUGCUUACAAGUAGUCAGAGCCCGUUAAUGGGUGAUGGCGUGCCUUUUGUAGAAUGAACCGGCGAGUUACGAUUUGAUGCAAGGUUAAGCAGUAAAUGUGGAGCCGUAGCGAAAGCGAGUCUGAAUAGGGCGUUUAGUAUUUGGUCGUAGACCCGAAACCAGGUGAUCUACCCUUGGUCAGGUUGAAGUUCAGGUAACACUGAAUGGAGGACCGAACCGACUUACGUUGAAAAGUGAGCGGAUGAACUGAGGGUAGCGGAGAAAUUCCAAUCGAACCUGGAGAUAGCUGGUUCUCUCCGAAAUAGCUUUAGGGCUAGCCUCAAGUGAUGAUUAUUGGAGGUAGAGCACUGUUUGGACGAGGGGCCCCUCUCGGGUUACCGAAUUCAGACAAACUCCGAAUGCCAAUUAAUUUAACUUGGGAGUCAGAACAUGGGUGAUAAGGUCCGUGUUCGAAAGGGAAACAGCCCAGACCACCAGCUAAGGUCCCAAAAUAUAUGUUAAGUGGAAAAGGAUGUGGCGUUGCCCAGACAACUAGGAUGUUGGCUUAGAAGCAGCCAUCAUUUAAAGAGUGCGUAAUAGCUCACUAGUCGAGUGACACUGCGCCGAAAAUGUACCGGGGCUAAACAUAUUACCGAAGCUGUGGAUUGUCCUUUGGACAAUGGUAGGAGAGCGUUCUAAGGGCGUUGAAGCAUGAUCGUAAGGACAUGUGGAGCGCUUAGAAGUGAGAAUGCCGGUGUGAGUAGCGAAAGACGGGUGAGAAUCCCGUCCACCGAUUGACUAAGGUUUCCAGAGGAAGGCUCGUCCGCUCUGGGUUAGUCGGGUCCUAAGCUGAGGCCGACAGGCGUAGGCGAUGGAUAACAGGUUGAUAUUCCUGUACCACCUAUAAUCGUUUUAAUCGAUGGGGGGACGCAGUAGGAUAGGCGAAGCGUGCGAUUGGAUUGCACGUCUAAGCAGUAAGGCUGAGUAUUAGGCAAAUCCGGUACUCGUUAAGGCUGAGC
Molecule: ribosomal RNA, 1074 nt
Filed under: Staphylococcus aureus
Lineage: Bacteria; Bacillati; Bacillota; Bacilli; Caryophanales; Staphylococcaceae
Description: partial 23S ribosomal RNA
Rfam family: Bacterial large subunit ribosomal RNA
Source: RNAcentral